Molecule: ribosomal RNA, 690 nt
Filed under: Triticum aestivum (bread wheat)
Lineage: Eukaryota; Viridiplantae; Streptophyta; Magnoliopsida; Poales; Poaceae
Description: partial small subunit ribosomal RNA
Source: RNAcentral
AUGGCGGCCUCCUCCCCCUCCGCCCUCGCGCUCUCCACCACCACGCGGGUAGCUGGCUCGUCCGUGCUGCUUGCUGUGAGGCGGACGCCGGCGACGCGCGUGGCCGCCGUUCCCUCCGCCCAGCUCCGCGCGUGCUCCUGGGGGGCGCCGCUCCAUCUCCGGCCGGAGCUCGCCGCGGCCCCUGCCCCGUGCGCCGCCCGCUGCAGGGCGCCUCUGCUCCGGCCUCGCGCAUGGCUGUCGACGUCCCAGAUUGCCAGCUCCGCCUUCACCCUGGGCACCGUCGCCGUCCUCCCCUUCUACACGCUCAUGAUCGCCGCCCCCAACGCCAACAUCACUAAGCGCGCCGUGGAGAGCACCGCCCCCUACGUCGCCCUCGGCCUCCUCUACGCCUACCUGCUCUACCUCUCCUGGACCCCCGACACCAUCCGCGCCAUGUUCGCCAGCAAGUACUGGCUCCCGGAGUUGCCUGGCAUUGUGAGGAUGUUUGCGAGCGAGAUGACCGUCGCCUCCGCCUGGAUCCACCUCCUAGCCGUCGACCUCUUCGCCGCAAGGCAAGUGUACCAAGAUGGCAUCAAGAACAACAUCGAGACCAGGCAUUCGGUUUCGCUCUGCCUGCUCUUCUGCCCCAUCGGGAUCGCCGCUCACGCGCUCACUAAGGUACUGGCGGGUUCCACAGGUCGAUCACACUGA